RNAcentral lists this ribosomal RNA (249 nucleotides) under Triticum aestivum (bread wheat). RNAcentral describes it as "partial small subunit ribosomal RNA". Lineage: Eukaryota; Viridiplantae; Streptophyta; Magnoliopsida; Poales; Poaceae. The record is from RNAcentral.
AUGGGCGACAGCGACUGCGGCCGCGCAGAAGAAUGCUCCGUGGAAGCAGGCGAAGUUGACGCUGCCACCCGUCGGCCACGGCCAAGAGAAAAAAGUGGCGGACGCGACGACCCAUGCAUUGCUGCUGAUGCGUCGUCGUCAGAGGAGGAGAAACGCGGGGACAAGGAGGACGAACUCAUGACGAGAGCAGAAGAGUUCAUCCAGAGGAUGAACAGAGUGUGGAGGACGGAGAGUUUACUUGUUUGCUGA